Molecule: unclassified non-coding RNA, 428 nt
Filed under: Artemisia herba-alba
Lineage: Eukaryota; Viridiplantae; Streptophyta; Magnoliopsida; Asterales; Asteraceae
Also listed under: 4 other names
Description: partial external transcribed spacer
Source: RNAcentral
UGAGUGGUGUUUGGUUUGUUACGUGUGGUUGGCUGCGGCGUUUGCAACAACUUCCAUGCUUUCAGACCUCUUCAGUUGUGCGGCAAGGCUUGUAUCGCCUUGAGCGUAUUGUGGGUUUUCUGUGUUGGCUACCUAAUCAAUGGUAUCGGUUGGAUUGAUCAAUGUUUCAUUUCGUCUACCGUCGCAUUCGCGGCGUGAGAUGAACCUUGAUGCGGUCUCUUUGAUCCACCUCGUCGAAGCGCAUGCUUUGGCGUUGUGGCACAUUGAGCAUUGCUUGGUCUCUUGUAUACGGAACAUAUAGUGGGCAUGGAUCUAACGAUUCUCGUUUGCCCUCAUAUUAGCGUAACGCUUCUCUUACACGACUUGCUCCACGUUUUAGCUCGUACGGACGUGGUGCUAUGUCGAAGAGGAAUGCUACCUGGUUGAUC